This 390-nucleotide ribosomal RNA is filed under the name uncultured bacterium. RNAcentral's name for it is "bacterial SSU rRNA". It matches the Rfam family "Bacterial small subunit ribosomal RNA", at positions 28 to 419 of the family's 1533-position model. The record is from RNAcentral.
GAUGAACGCUAGCGGUGUGCUUAAAGCAUGCAAGUCGAACGUGAUCCUUGGAUUCGUUCAAGGUGAAAGUGGCGAACGGGUGAGUAACGCGUUGGUGAUCUGCCCCGGAGUGGGGAAUAACUAUCGGAAACGAUAGCUAAUACCCCAGAUGUCUUCGUGUUUGGAAAGCGAUGACUAAAGUUCAGGCGCUCCGGGAGGAGCCUGCGUCCCAUCAGCUAGUUGGUAGGGUAAUGGCCUACCAAGGCACAGACGGGUAGGGGGCGUGAGAGCGUGGCCCCCCACACUGGUACUGACACACGGACCAGAUGCCUACGGGUAGCAGCAGCUAGGAAUAUUGGGCAAUGGGCGAAAGCCUGACCCAGCAACACCGCGUGAAGGACGACGGCCUUC